UUGUCACUGGAAACAAUCAUCCUUUGUAGCA
Molecule: non-coding RNA, 31 nt
Filed under: Rattus norvegicus (Norway rat)
Lineage: Eukaryota; Metazoa; Chordata; Mammalia; Rodentia; Muridae
Source: RNAcentral